GGGCCCGCACAAGCAGUGGAGCAUGUGGUUUAAUUCGAAGAUACGCGCAGAACCUUACCAACGCUUGACAUGUUCGUCGCGAAACUAAGAGAUUAGUUUCUUCAGUUCGGCUGGACGAAACACAGGUGCUGCAUGGCUGUCGUCAGCUCGUGUCGUGAGAUGUUGGGUUAAGUCCCGCAACGAGCGCAACCCCCUACUUUUAGUUGCCACCAUUUAGUUGGGCACUUUAAAAGAACUGCCAGUGAUAAGCUGGAGGAAGGUGGGGAUGACGUCAAGUCCUCAUGGCCCUUAUGUGUUGGGCUACACACGUGCUACAAUGGCACUUACAAUGGGAUGCAAAGAGGUGACUCUAAGCUAAUCCCUAAAAUGUGUCUCAGUUCGGAUUGUACUCUGUAACUCGAGUGCAUGAAGCUGGAAUUGCUAGUAAUCGC
RNAcentral lists this ribosomal RNA (431 nucleotides) under uncultured bacterium. RNAcentral's name for it is "bacterial SSU rRNA". It matches the Rfam family "Bacterial small subunit ribosomal RNA", at positions 917 to 1345 of the family's 1533-position model. The record is from RNAcentral.